This 999-nucleotide long non-coding RNA is filed under the name Gossypium raimondii (Peruvian cotton). RNAcentral's name for it is "long non-coding RNA (GRAI_LNC010205)". Lineage: Eukaryota; Viridiplantae; Streptophyta; Magnoliopsida; Malvales; Malvaceae. The record is from RNAcentral.
ACCCCAUUUUCUUCCAUUCAUUUUCUUCAUUUCUUCUCCUUCUUUGUAGUUUCCUUAAACCAUAAAAAACUCGUACUUUAUUGACCUGACCUCCAACCAGAGAUAGUCGUCUCUGUUUAGUAAAAAUAUAAAGUUCAUAAAGCACAAAAGCAAUCAUUAAAACAUUUCCUAUUCUUUUCUUUACAAUUAAGUCAUUAUAUAAUAAUAAUAUCUAAAGUAAGUUAUACAAAUAAUCAUUCAAUUAUUAGUGUGUAUUACUGUUUUAGUCACUUAAGUUUAAAAAAGUCUAUUUUAAUUAUUAAAAUUAUCAACAUUUAAUAUUUUGGUCACUCCUUAAAUCAUGAUCAUAAUAUUGAUAUAAGCACCACCAACGCACGCCUCUGCCAGCCUCUGCGCACGCCGCCACCGCUUGAGAUCCGCCUAUCGCCGGCCAUCCACGCGUCUGACAUCUGCAACAACCACCACAAAACAAAGCAACAACUAGAAGACGACAAAUAAAGCAGAGAAAACAUUUUGUAAUCAGAUAUAAAGGGCCGAAUAAGGCAAUUGUUUUCUGCUGGGGAUCUUCUUUGUAAAAAACACACAGAUAUUGGAAUCAAAAAACAGAAAACAAAAUUAAAAAAGGUUGAUUUGAAUUGCUCUCUCUUCAUUUUUCUUUAUUUUUGCGUAUUUAUUUAUUUAUUUUUUGCAAAUCGAUUUUAAAAUAACAAGUAAUAAAAGAGAAAGGAAAGGGGAUUACUUGAAUCGGCCUUCAGGCCCGCCGUCGAUGGCGCUUCACCGUCGCCGGAUGUGGAUUUAAAGAGAGGCCAAAGCUUUUCUUUUUCCCCUCAGUCCCUUGUUCCAUGGCCUCGACCUCCGAAUGCGCUUCAGUGCGCCGAGGGGUGACGUCCUCGCAUGGCUCCGGCCACCGGACAGAGGGAGGCGUGACGGCGGCGGCCUAGCAGAGAAAAGGGAACCUCCCUUGUUAUUUUUCGCGUUCUGGGCAGAAAGUGAAACAGU